UUUUAAUGAUUGUUUAUUUUUUUUCUUUAAAAGUUUUAUUCUUGCUUUUUUAUUUACUUUAUCUUUAUAUUAUAUACUAGUUUUGGAUACUAAAUGUUUCGUAAUGUAGUAAUUUAAUUUAAUACAUCAAGUUAUUUUGGAGUUAGUAAUUGAUUAAAUAUUGGCUUAUUUUGUGCCAGCAGCCGCGGUUAUACAAUUAAUAUAAGUAAAUAUUUUUGGUUAGCAGUAAAUUUAUUUUUAGGAUUUUUUAUUUGAUUAAUUAGGUGAAAUUAUUAUUUUAUUUUAUGUUCUUUAUUUGAUUCUGUGAAAAUUUAAUUAUUAAACUAGGAUUAGAUACCCUAUUAUUUUAAUUGUAAAUAUUUUAUGCCAGGGUAGUAAUAGUUAAUUUCUUAAAACCCAAAGAAUUUGGCGGUAUUUUAUUCCAUUCAGAGGAACCUACCCCUUAAUUGAUAAUACACGAUUUGAAAUACUUAAUUUUUGUUUGUAUAUCUCCGUUAUCAGGAAAUUUUUUUAGAAUUAUAUAAUUUUCAGGAUUCUUUAUUAAGAUAAAUUUCAGGUCAAGGUGCAGCUAAUAAUUAAGUGGAGGCGGGUUACAAUAAUUUUUGAUUAUUAUGGUUUUGUUUGUGUAAACUUAUAAUUAAAUUGGAUUUGAUGGUAAUUUUUUUUUACUUUAUUAUUUUGAUUAAUGGUUCUAAAAUAUGUACACAUCGCCCGUCGCUCUCAUUUUAUUUUAAUGUAUUGAUUCAAUUGAGAUAAGUCGUAACAUAGUAGGUGUACUGGAAAGUGUACCUAGAAAGAUU
This 800-nucleotide non-coding RNA is filed under the name Algete brunneri. Lineage: Eukaryota; Metazoa; Arthropoda; Insecta; Orthoptera; Pyrgomorphidae. The record is from RNAcentral.